CGCGCAAUAGGCAUGCUAAGAGGCCUGGGGACUAGGCUGGAGUGGCAGCCGCUGGACCCUGGGUACGAGGUUGACAAUGAUCAGUCCAUCCUCGUCCCCAGGCCCAAGCUCGGGCGGCCCUCACAGUGGCCCUGGUUCAGGCUGUUGAUCUGCGUCGGAAAUCCGACGCAGAGGCUUGGUCGCACAGCAUAUGUAUUUCUCCCUAAAAACAUGGCGACCGCAAUGAAUGCAACUGUACGAGAAAGGCAGAAGCAAUAUAUUUUGCACUUGUGAAAACAAAUAAUACUCAAUUAAGUUAAAGGAAAUGCAGAAAGA
Non-coding RNA from Paramuricea clavata, 315 nucleotides. The record is from the annotation of a GenBank genome assembly. NCBI's taxonomy places the organism in Eukaryota, Metazoa, Cnidaria, Anthozoa, Malacalcyonacea, Plexauridae.